UUUUAUUUUGGUAGUUGCGCUACUUCCUGUCUGUUUGCGGCAUUCCCUUCAGUCCCUGGGGGACCGGCCUAGAGUAAACCCUCAGCUUUGGUGGCAAUCCUUGUGUGAGACUCGAUUCUUAAAAACACAGAUGACUUUGACCCGCACUGUCCCGCAGCAAGAGAGGACCGGCUACAUAAGCAACAGUAGCUUAUCCCUCAGACCUAAUUUUUGAGGAGCUCCAGAAAAACUUCCCGGAUGCCUCCACAGACCUACGGAGCGCUCUUUGAUGUGUCUCAGCUGAGAAGAUAAGACUGCCAGAUGGUAUUUUGCGUGGAAAUCUAUCGCUAAUCUCCUGGACUUCCUUCGUGGAUGGAGUUCAUGUAGUUGGAUUUGCUGUAAAUAAAAUGUUUUAAAUGCAAAUGCUUGCAGUGGGAGAAGACUUGCAGUGUUUGUUUUUACAAUAUAUGCCAUUGUAGUGAAUUCCAUCUAUUUAAAUUAUUAAUUUAUGAUGGAUUUGUUAACACUUUAUAUUAAUUGAUGUCAAGUGUUAAGUGAUGCAUCUGUAUGCAUCAUUUUUGGCCAAAUUUGGAAGAUUACACAGUUUUGUGUAGACUGCAACCUCAAUCUGCUUCAUCCUCAAAAGAACCAGUAACCUUAAAUAAUCUUGAGGGUUCGUCUGGUGCGGAAUCUCUCAGAACUUUAUCUUACAGAAAGAGUAGUAUGAUAUGAUUGAAAUCAGGCAAGCUGAAGUAGUGCUCUCAUUAGUCGUAGUGAUAUUUCAGUUUCUCCUUGUCAGUUUCACUGAUUCUUCUUUGAAAUUGUCCUGAGAUUCUUCCCAUCCUCAUGCACACAUACACGUUCCCACACAAUUUUAUUUUGUAACUGCUUAUAAAUUGAUUCUACUUUUGUAAAAGAUAAUCUUUUGUUUUCUCUUGUGAUAUGGUCAAUUUAGAACACAACUUACUGCUUGCAGCUUUUUCGUGAAUUAAUCCUGCUACUUUGCUAGAUUUUUCUUUGAAAGUAAGAUUGAUAAUCUUUAACCAAUAAUUAUUUUCCUAUUUUAUUUGAAGAGCAGUCCCACUUGAGAUGAUUUAUUUGUGCUUAAAUUGAACUAAUUUAAAAACAAUCUGUUAAUAAUACUGUCAAAAUUAAUGCAAUUUACUUAAAAAUAAUCUCACAGGAUACCGUAAUUAUGACAAUGAUCUUGCUUAAAUGCAUAAUGUACAUUUAUGUUGAGUUAUUUUUUUAUGUUUCUGCCCUCAGGUGAUGUGAGUUCUGCAUUUGGAUCAUUCCUCAGCAUGAACGAUGACUUGGCCUGUGAAUGGAUGUCUUUAAGAAGCACCAUUCAUUUUUAAUACAAGUCAUGUCUGGCCUUAGGGAGCCCAGUGAACUUGUAGUCAUCGUCAUUAUUAUUCUAAAUUAAAAAUACAAUCGUAAGUCAAGGGAAAUUUGGCGCUCUCCUGCUGAUAUAACCACAGAUCUCUCCCAAUAAAGUCAUAUGUUUGUGUUACAGUGCACUACAUUUUUUCAUCUCAGAAGUCAAUCAUGACACAGACCCUAAAGGUAAUUAUUUAUAGCUUCACAUCUUUGACAUCUGAAAGCAAUCUUGAAAACAAAAAAAAGAAUCCUACUAAUCUAAAUUUCAACAUAAAUUGUUUCCUAGAAUUUGGUCAAGAAGUGGACAUUUCUACCACAGAGAAUAUGCUUAUUCAUGUUACCGUCUCUGGAUAAGUUCAACAUUUUUUCAGUCCACAGUUGAUUCCUAAGGUCUUAGACUAUCUCUGAGUUCCUUCACAACUCACUAUAUCACAUAUCUUAAAGUGAAGGCCCGAGGGCCAAAUCCGGCCCUCUAAGUAAUUAUAUCCGGCCCUCAAGAUCCUGUUAUUUUAUUAUUAUUAAUGGCCCAAUGUUAUUUUGCUGUUAUUAUUGUUUUGGAUUUUGGCCCUCUGUGAGAUUGAGUUUGACACCCGUGUAUUAUAUAGUGCACUAUGUAAUGCAUUUGCCAUUUCGUAGUACUGUCCGAAUCUACAAUUCCAAAAUUCAGUGCCCUUGAAAUUUUGAAAGUCUUUGUGAAAACCCAGUGCGUAUCGAUGCUCAAUAGAUUGACAAUUAUAGAUCACAACACUAUGCUGUUUAACAAUUUUUGUAAAAAAAAAAAA
Oryzias melastigma (Indian medaka) is the source of this 2141-nucleotide long non-coding RNA. RefSeq lists it as uncharacterized. NCBI's taxonomy places the organism in Eukaryota, Metazoa, Chordata, Actinopteri, Beloniformes, Adrianichthyidae. The record is from RefSeq and is a predicted model, not a curated record. The transcript has 3 exons.